GGGGUUGUGGCUCAGUGGUAAAGCAUCUGCUUCAUCUGCAGAAGGUCCCUGGUUCAAUCCCUGGCAUCUCCA
This is a non-coding RNA of Heteronotia binoei (common prickly gecko), 72 nucleotides long. The record is from the annotation of a RefSeq genome assembly. Lineage: Eukaryota; Metazoa; Chordata; Lepidosauria; Squamata; Gekkonidae.